UGGAGACCGGUAGUAACACCAGUUGUAAACCCAAGGCCAAGAGACCAUGGCCACGUUAGCCCGGCUGCAAGCUAGGUCGUCGACUGUAGGAAAUCAGUACUACUUUAGGAACAGUGUUGUAGAUCCAUUUAGAAAAAAGGAGAAUGAUGCAGCAGUUAAAAUCCAAAGCUGGUUUCGAGGAUGUCAAGUUCGGUCAUAUAUCAGGCAUUUAAACAGGAUUGUAACAAUUAUUCAAAAAUGGUGGAGAAGUUUCUUAGGCAGAAAGCAAUAUCAACUAACUGUGCAGGUAGCAUAUUAUACUAUGAUGAUGAAUCUCUACAAUGCAAUGGCUGUCAGGAUUCAGAGACGAUGGCGAGGCUAUAGGGUUCGGAAGUACCUCUUUAAUUAUUAUUAUUUGAAAGAGUACCUGAAAGUCGUUUCAGAGACCAACGAUGCAAUUAGGACUUCAUUUGUCAGACAGAAAGAAAGAAAACUGGUAAUUCCAAACUGUCUACUGGCCCAUUGUUUUAAUCACUACCCCACUAUCUCCACUGAUCUUUGGUCUGCAAGGAAGGCACUGGAGGAGUUUGCAGAAAUGAAAGAAAGAGAAGAGAAGAAGGCUAACCUCGAAAGGGAAGAGAAGAAAAGAGAUUACCAAGCCCGAAAGAUGCAUUACCUCCUCAGCACAAAGCAGAUUCCAGGAAUAUACAAUUCACCCUUCAGAAAAGAGCCUGAUCCAUGGGAGCUGCAAUUACAAAAGGCAAAGCCUUUAACACACCGAAGACCUAAAGUUAAGCAGAAGGACUCCACCAGCCUUACUGAUUGGCUAGCUUGUACAAGCACCCGUUCUUUUCCUCGGUCUGAAAUUCUACCACCUAUUAAUAGAAAGCAAUGUCAGGGCUGGGCACAGUGGCUGACGCCUGUAAUUCCAGCACUUUGGGAGGCCAAGGCAGACAGAUCACAAGGUCAAGAGAUCAAGACCAUCCUGGACAACAUGGGGCCCUUCCGAGAUAUCACCGAAGUAUUAGAACAACGCUACAGGCCUUUGGAGCCAACGUUGCGGGUGGCAGAACCAAUCGAUGAGUUAAAGCUGGCCAGAGAGGAGCUCAGAAGAGAGGAAUGGCUGCAAAAUGUAAAUGACAAUAUGUUUUUGCCAUUUUCUUCAUACCAUAAAAAUGAAAAGUACAUCCCAUCAAUGCAUUUAUCAAGCAAGUAUGGUCCUGUUUCUUACAAAGAACAAUUCCGAAGUGAAAAUCCUAAGAAAUGGAUCUGUGACAAGGAAACAAGCACGGCAGAGGCUAAAUAACUUUUCCAAGAUCACAAAGUCCUUAAAGAUAAACCUGGAUUUCAAACCCAGGCGGCUUGACUCCAAAGCAGUAUUGCCUCUGAGCAGAAGUAAUAAGAAAGUUUUCACAUGACCCCUGCAAUCACCAGUGAGACUCUGGCCAUCACACAGUAUGCAAAUGAACUUGGUUUCCUGUUUAGAUUCAGACUGAUAAUGCAUCAUCAACUCAUCAGCUAAAAUUUUCUUCUCUGGGAACAUGUACACAUGGUUUGAUUAAAGAAUGCAUAAUAAAUCCUAAAUCUCUGAGCUUUAGAACAACACAAAUAACUAAGAUUGAAUACUUGAGGAUAUUUUCCUGAAAACAGUGAACAGAAAAAAGGGGAGAAGUCCUACAGCUGUAACAGUUUCCUGUAUAUUCUUUUGUCAGAACUGUAGAGAUCCUCAUGCCAUCACAGUUUUCUACAUGCAAUGAGAGCGAAGUUUGAUCUUGCAGGAAUAAUGCCAGGAUUUCCAGACUGUAUUACCAUCAUUUGAGCUCUUCUCAAAGUAUGGAAAAUUAUAUUCAAAAGCUGGACAGAUUGUAUAAAGGUGUCAGAAGAAGAAACUGAAGCCAUCUGCAUUUUAAAACUUAACAGUUCUGAAAGGAAAACACAGAUGAAGAUCCUGUAGGAAAUAUACUUGCUAUGAUUCAAUAAACUAUAAAAUUUUGUAGCUCUA
This is an RNA transcript of Gorilla gorilla gorilla (western lowland gorilla), 1981 nucleotides long. It is a transcript of the gene named spermatogenesis associated 17, with no coding region annotated. NCBI's taxonomy places the organism in Eukaryota, Metazoa, Chordata, Mammalia, Primates, Hominidae. The record is from RefSeq and is a predicted model, not a curated record. The transcript has 14 exons.